RNAcentral lists this ribosomal RNA (430 nucleotides) under uncultured bacterium. Its description in RNAcentral is "bacterial SSU rRNA". It matches the Rfam family "Bacterial small subunit ribosomal RNA", at positions 958 to 1392 of the family's 1533-position model. The record is from RNAcentral.
AACGCGAAGAACCUUACCAGGGCUUGACAUCCCUCUGACAGUCCCUUAACCGGGACCUUCUUCGGACAGAGGAGACAGGUGGUGCAUGGUUGUCGUCAGCUCGUGUCGUGAGAUGUUGGGUUAAGUCCCGCAACGAGCGCAACCCUUGUCUUUAGUUGCCAUCAUUCAGUUGGGCACUCUAGAGAGACUGCCGAGGAUAACUCGGAGGAAGGUGGGGAUGACGUCAAAUCAUCAUGCCCCUUAUGCCCUGGGCUACACACGUGCUACAAUGGCUGGUACAAAGAGACGCAAGACCGCGAGGUGGAGCAAAUCUCAAAAACCAGUCCCAGUUCGGAUUGCAGGCUGCAACUCGCCUGCAUGAAGUUGGAGUUGCUAGUAAUCGCAGAUCAGAAUGCUGCGGUGAAUGCGUUCCCGGGUCUUGUACACACCG